GAUGAACGCUGGCGGCGUGCCUAAUACAUGCAAGUCGAGCGAACGGACGAGAAGCUUGCUUCUCUGAUGUUAGCGGCGGACGGGUGAGUAACACGUGGAUAACCUACCUAUAAGACUGGGAUAACUUCGGGAAACCGGAGCUAAUACCGGAUAAUAUUUUGAACCGCAUGGUUCAAAAGUGAAAGACGGUCUUGCUGUCACUUAUAGAUGGAUCCGCGCUGCAUUAGCUAGUUGGUAAGGUAACGGCUUACCAAGGCAACGAUGCAUAGCCGACCUGAGAGGGUGAUCGGCCACACUGGAACUGAGACACGGUCCAGACUCCUACGGGAGGCAGCAGUAGGGAAUCUUCCGCAAUGGGCGAAAGCCUGACGGAGCAACGCCGCGUGAGUGAUGAAGGUCUUCGGAUCGUAAAACUCUGUUAUUAGGGAAGAACAUAUGUGUAAGUAACUGUGCACAUCUUGACGGUACCUAAUCAGAAAGCCACGGCUAACUACGUGCCAGCAGCCGCGGUAAUACGUAGGUGGCAAGCGUUAUCCGGAAUUAUUGGGCGUAAAGCGCGCGUAGGCGGUUUUUUAAGUCUGAUGUGAAAGCCCACGGCUCAACCGUGGAGGGUCAUUGGAAACUGGAAAACUUGAGUGCAGAAGAGGAAAGUGGAAUUCCAUGUGUAGCGGUGAAAUGCGCAGAGAUAUGGAGGAACACCAGUGGCGAAGGCGACUUUCUGGUCUGUAACUGACGCUGAUGUGCGAAAGCGUGGGGAUCAAACAGGAUUAGAUACCCUGGUAGUCCACGCCGUAAACGAUGAGUGCUAAGUGUUAGGGGGUUUCCGCCCCUUAGUGCUGCAGCUAACGCAUUAAGCACUCCGCCUGGGGAGUACGACCGCAAGGUUGAAACUCAAAGGAAUUGACGGGGACCCGCACAAGCGGUGGAGCAUGUGGUUUAAUUCGAAGCAACGCGAAGAACCUUACCAAAUCUUGACAUCCUUUGACAACUCUAGAGAUAGAGCCUUCCCCUUCGGGGGACAAAGUGACAGGUGGUGCAUGGUUGUCGUCAGCUCGUGUCGUGAGAUGUUGGGUUAAGUCCCGCAACGAGCGCAACCCUUAAGCUUAGUUGCCAUCAUUAAGUUGGGCACUCUAAGUUGACUGCCGGUGACAAACCGGAGGAAGGUGGGGAUGACGUCAAAUCAUCAUGCCCCUUAUGAUUUGGGCUACACACGUGCUACAAUGGACAAUACAAAGGGCAGCGAAACCGCGAGGUCAAGCAAAUCCCAUAAAGUGGUUCUCAGUUCGGAUUGUAGUCUGCAACUCGACUACAUGAAGCUGGAAUCGCUAGUAAUCGUAGAUCAGCAUGCUACGGUGAAUACGUUCCCGGG
RNAcentral lists this ribosomal RNA (1369 nucleotides) under uncultured bacterium. Its description in RNAcentral is "16S ribosomal RNA". It matches the Rfam family "Bacterial small subunit ribosomal RNA", at positions 28 to 1378 of the family's 1533-position model. The record is from RNAcentral.